AAAAUGUUAGAUUCAUUUCAGAAACAGUCCCUGGCAAGGAAACUUGGUUUUAUUAAUACUAUCAUAUGCUACACAUCAUGCCAAACAGAUAUUGCAUGUUUUACAUAACAUAUUAAUAAAUGUUCUGUUUGAUGGAAGAGAGGUGGCCAUCAGGUUCAAGUGUUAGCUCAUCAUGCAGACCCCCAAGGUUUUAUUCUUUCCAUGGUUAAGGUGUGUUAAGCCCAUUGUAGUGUAUCAUAAAUUGCUCAUGGAUUUCAUAGAAUAUGGCUGGGUGUAGGGUACAUUUUGAAAGCCAUCAAAGUAUGUUUACUGUAAGGUACAAUUACUUUUAUUGGUUUUUGACUGUUAAAAUGUGGAUUUUGUAAAGUAAGAUUUUUAUUUAUUACAGCUUUUGUAUUUAGUACUUUACAAAGUAUUUAUUACUUAACCUAAUUAGUAGAUUUUAUCUAUUUUCAAAAGGUCUUUUCAAAUAAUAUUUCCUGUUUUUCUGGUGCUAUCAGAAGUGUAUGACUAUUUGAUAAUAAUUUGUUUGAUAUUUUGUACUAUUUUUCAGAGGAAAUAGGAAAAUGAUGUGAACAGUUAACAGAAUUUGCUAUUACUAUUUGUGCCAUGAAUCUGUAGAAUUCCAUGAUGUAGAUGUGCGAGACCAGAGAUGAGAAUUGUAGGUUGUACAAACUGUCAGUUUGUGAUUUUCAUCCUGGAUAGAUCACCAGCCAACUGUUUACCUGUGCUCUGUCUAUGGUGGAUGUUGACAGGUAAAUGUGGCUUGGACUGGUUAUGGCUGGUAGAAAUGGGGUAUACAAAAUGUAUCUAUAUUGUUAGCAUAGUGAUCUCUGCUUCAUACGACUUCAAUAAUCUGUAAAGUUGGAAAUAUAUUCAGAUUUAUGUGAAAUAAGAUGCAUUGCUUUCUGUUUCAAGAAUAACCACUCUCUGAUGGGUUUUUUCCUUUUUGAUGUUUCAUCACUUGAUUUGCCUUUCAACCAAUACAGAAUAUCAGAUAAAAUGUGCCGAUUUUAAACCAUGAUGGAAAGUUUGGCACUGUUAAUCUUGUCAAGCAGUAAAUGUUUUUAUUUAUUUAUUUUUCAAAUAUUGGGGUGCCAUUCUUAAUUUUAUAUUUCUUGCAAGCCUACAGGCAAGUACCAACUUACAGUGUUUGAAGCAGACUUCUGUACAUGGUGACUUCAGUGAAGUACAAUAUUUGCCACAAGUGACCUUGGCACAUAGAAAAUUGAUAGACGAAAAUUAGAGAAAAAUGAUAUAAAAGUUAAAACUGUUCUCAAAGAACACAUUGUUUCCAAUGUCCAUGAAACUGCAGUGUAUCUGAUAAUAAUUAUUAGAUUGUCAGAUAAUUUUUAAUAUUCACAAGCAAAUAAAGGUUAUGUCAGUUUUACUGGCUUAGUACUGAGUGCACAUAAAGACUACUUGCAGACUCAUCUAGAAGUUGGGCAUGGUGUGCCCUGGGGGCUUUCCAUAGUGUUUCUCAAUGAAAUUGUUGCUAUAAUAAUCCAUGUGAGCCAAUUGUUGUAAUUUUCAAAAACAGUUCUUCAGACUUUGGCUUCUUAUAAUCGUUU
Molecule: long non-coding RNA, 1571 nt
Organism: Haliotis rubra (blacklip abalone)
Lineage: Eukaryota; Metazoa; Mollusca; Gastropoda; Lepetellida; Haliotidae
Exons: 3
Source: RefSeq, a predicted model, not a curated record